AAACUUAGUGAUUGUAUUAGAGCUGUGUGGUGCAGACUGGAUGCCUCCCUCUGUCUAUUCAGGACUGUUGCUGUACUUUUGAUUGGUCUGUCUCCAGCCAAUGAGCUGCAGAGUCUCUAUAAAACAGGAAGUUGUUUGCUGAGCUCUUCCCUGACUCUGAGCUCAUUCAUCUCUUGUUCCAGGUUGUCUGACCUCCAUGAUUGUUGCAGGUUUUCUAUACAAGUCCAGUCCUGUGGAACUUCAUUGUUCACAGGCCACUCCUGGUGACUCUGCUGCUUCCUCAGUGCUUCCCCACUCCUGAGUCCAAGUACUGCCAACCACAAUAAGCUGAGAGUCUAAAGUGGUGGUUGCUGGGCCUCUGUGGUGGUGGAGUCUCCUUCACUG
Long non-coding RNA from Mugil cephalus (flathead mullet), 384 nucleotides. RefSeq lists it as uncharacterized. The transcript is spliced from 3 exons. NCBI's taxonomy places the organism in Eukaryota, Metazoa, Chordata, Actinopteri, Mugiliformes, Mugilidae. The record is from RefSeq and is a predicted model, not a curated record.